RNAcentral lists this ribosomal RNA (460 nucleotides) under uncultured bacterium. RNAcentral's name for it is "partial 16S ribosomal RNA". It matches the Rfam family "Bacterial small subunit ribosomal RNA", at positions 338 to 795 of the family's 1533-position model. The record is from RNAcentral.
CCUACGGGAGGCUGCAGUGAGGAAUAUUGGUCAAUGGACGAGAGUCUGAACCAGCCAAGUAGCGUGAAGGAUGACUGCUCUAUGGGUUGUAAACUUCUUUUAUAUGGGAAUAAAUUGUUCCACGUGUGGGAUUUUGUAUGUACCAUAUGAAUAAGGCGCGGCUAAUUCCGUGCCAGAAGCCGCCGUAAUACGGAGGGGCUGAGCGUUAUACGGAUUUAUUGGGUUUAAAGGGAGCGUAGGUGGCAUGUUAAGUCAGUUGUGAAAGUUUGGGGCUCAACCGUAAAAUUGCAGUUGAAACUGGGAGUCGUGAGUACAGGAGAGGUGGGCGGAAUUCGUGGUGUAGCGGUGAAAUGCUUAGAUAUCACGAAGAACUCCGAUUGCGAAGGCAGUUCACUGGACUGCAACUGACGCUGAGGCUCGAAAGUGUGGGUAUCAAACAGGAUUAGAUACCCGGGUAGUC